GUCUGCGGCCAUGCCACCCUGAACAAGCCUGAUCCCAUCUGAUCUCAGAAGCUAAGCAGAGUUGGGCCUGGUUAGUACUUGGAUGGGAGACUGGUUAGUACUUGGAUGCGAGACCACCUAGGAAGACCCAUUGCUGUAGGAG
Non-coding RNA from Pteropus alecto (black flying fox), 142 nucleotides. The record is from Rfam. NCBI's taxonomy places the organism in Eukaryota, Metazoa, Chordata, Mammalia, Chiroptera, Pteropodidae.